RNAcentral lists this long non-coding RNA (1057 nucleotides) under Nicotiana benthamiana. RNAcentral's name for it is "long non-coding RNA (NBEN_LNC006684)". The record is from RNAcentral. Lineage: Eukaryota; Viridiplantae; Streptophyta; Magnoliopsida; Solanales; Solanaceae.
CGGAAACAAAUUACUAAAUCAAAUAACAAAAUUAAUUUGAUUUUGUUAAGAAUUGAAUUCUAUUUGGAAUGAAUGUCUUUCUUGUAGAGAGUUUUACUUUGAGGCUAAGUCAUUUUUCCUCCUAGAAAUAAAGGGGUCUUAUCCCAUUGUAAAUCACCCCAAAAUUCAAUAAGAAUUUUCUCUCUCUCUUUCUUUGCAAUAUUGCUCUUGUUUUUUUAUUAUUUUAUAACAUGUUAUCAGCACUAGACUUUGCCGUCUCAAGAAGCUCUUUGAGAAGAUUAAGGUAAUUUUUCUCCUCUUUUUAAUUAUGACUGACAUUAUUAAAAGAACGUUCGUUGCCCUUGAAAUUUCGAGCAAUAACUAUAUGACAUAGGUGUUGGAUGCUGAAAUCCAUUUAGCUAUGCAAUGGGUCUUGGAGACGCAUUAAAGACGGAAAUAAAGCAUCCACCCAAGACUGUGCUAAGGGCUUGAUUUUCUUGCGUCAUCACCUUGAUAAAGGGUUAAAAAUUGAAUAUCUCACAGUCAAAGAUCCACUUAUUUUGUGGAAUGGCUUAAAAGAAAGAUAUGACAACUUAAAGUUGGUCACUCUGCCACAAGCAAGAUAUGACAACUUAAAGUUGGUUACUCUGCCAUAAACACGAUAUGAUUGGGCUCAUAUGAGGCUCCAAGACUUUAAGUCUGUUUGUGAAUAUAAUUCUGCGAUGUUCGGAAUUACUUCUAAAUUGAAGCUCUGUGGAGAUACUAUCACUGAUUAUGAUAUGCUUGAAAAAAUGUUUACAACGUUUCAUGCAUCCAAUAUGGUUGUGCAACUGCAGUAUAGAGAGAAGGUUUCAAGAAGUACUCUGAGUUGAUUUCUCUUCUCCUUGUGGCUGAGCGAAACAAUGACUUGCUCAUGAGAAAUCAUAAAAAUCGACCCACUGGGUCUACACCAUUCCCUGAAGUGGAUGAGGUGUAUUCCCAUUAUGCUAAGUGUAGAAAAGGUCAUGCCUCUAAUCGUGGUCGUGGUCGUGGUCAUGGCCGUGGCCGUGGACAAGGAAGAAAUUUUCCUGGUGUCAAU